AACGAACGCUGGCGGCGCGUCUUAAACAUGCAAGUCGAACGAGAACCCUGGUGCUUGCAUUAGGGGGAAAGUGGCGAACGGGUGAGUAACACGUGGAUAAUCUGCCUCCAGGAUGGGGACAACCCCGGGAAACCGGGGCUAAUACCGAGUAAGAUGGUAGAUGCACAGGCAUCAGCCAUUAAAGGUGGGGACCGCAAGGCCUACCGCCUGGAGAUGAGUCCGCGGCCCAUUAGCUUGUUGGCGGGGUAAUGGCCCACCAAGGCAACGAUGGGUAGCCGGCCUGAGAGGGUGAACGGCCACACUGGGACUGAGAUACGGCCCAGACUCCUACGGGAGGCAGCAGUUAAGAAUCUUGCACAAUGGGCGAAAGCCUGAUGCAGCGACGCCGCGUGGACGAUGAAGGUUUUCGGAUUGUAAAGUCCACUAAG
RNAcentral lists this ribosomal RNA (428 nucleotides) under uncultured bacterium. RNAcentral's name for it is "bacterial SSU rRNA". It matches the Rfam family "Bacterial small subunit ribosomal RNA", at positions 29 to 439 of the family's 1533-position model. The record is from RNAcentral.